Molecule: ribosomal RNA, 498 nt
Filed under: uncultured bacterium
Lineage: Bacteria
Description: partial 16S ribosomal RNA
Rfam family: Bacterial small subunit ribosomal RNA
Source: RNAcentral
UGGGGAAUAUUGCACAAUGGGCGCAAGCCUGAUGCAGCAACGCCGCGUGAGGGACGACGGCCUUCGGGUUGUAAACCUCUUUUAGUAGGGAAGAAGCGAAAGUGACGGUACCUGCAGAAAAAGCACCGGCUAACUACGUGCCAGCAGCCGCGGUAAUACGUAGGGUGCGAGCGUUGUCCGGAAUUAUUGGGCGUAAAGAGCUCGUAGGCGGUCUGUCGCGUCUGCUGUGAAAACCCGAGGCUCAACCUCGGGCCUGCAGUGGGUACGGGCAGACUAGAGUGCGGUAGGGGAGAAUGGAAUUCCUGGUAUAGCGGUGGAAUGCGCAGAUAUCAGGAGGAACACCGAUGGCGAAGGCAGUUCUCUGGGCCGUAACUGACGCUGAGGAGCGAAAGCGUGGGGAGCGAACAGGAUUAGAUACCCUGGUAGUCCACGCCGUAAACGUUGGGCGCUAGAUGUGGGGACCAUUCCACGGUUUCCGUGUCGCAGCUAACGCAUUAA